Sander lucioperca (pikeperch) is the source of this 173-nucleotide long non-coding RNA. RefSeq lists it as uncharacterized. The record is from RefSeq and is a predicted model, not a curated record. The transcript has 2 exons. Lineage: Eukaryota; Metazoa; Chordata; Actinopteri; Perciformes; Percidae.
GUUUACAGUAACACAUUUCAAAUUAAAUAUGAGUCAAGCUAUUGCUUGCAUUUGCAAGUUUUAACACAUAGGCCUAAAUCAGACAAUGCAUAGGCAAUUUAGCGAAAUCCCUGCAGUUGUGGUCUUGACCGGUCUUGAAAUAUAAUCCAGAGUCCUCUUUAUCCGAGACCGAG